Gymnopus androsaceus JB14 is the source of this 92-nucleotide non-coding RNA. Lineage: Eukaryota; Fungi; Basidiomycota; Agaricomycetes; Agaricales; Omphalotaceae. The record is from the annotation of a GenBank genome assembly.
GGCGCUAUAGCCAAGUGGUUACGGCGACAGAUUCGAAUCUACUCGCUAUCUGUUCCUCUUUGAGGGCGCAGGUUCAAAUCCUGCUGGCGUCG